ACCACCUGUCACUGAAUAUGGUCGACGCGAUUGACGAUCCCAUUGACUAUCUUGGUGAAAUCGCCUUCGAACGGUUUUAUGUUAUAGAAGCUGUGCGUGAAAGUCUGUGUAGAUUUCAAUUCUCGAAAAGAAUAGUGCAACAUGAUACACACACGAGUACCCGGCAUGGAACGUACAGAAAAGGAACCUAUGGAAGAUGAUCUCACGGAAUUCAAUCUUUUACAGAAAAGCAGUGUUUUUACAAAGAAAAGAUCUAGGAGGCAGAGGCUGCCAGCUGCAAGGGAAAGGAGUUCAUUAAGAAGUCUUAUUAAUUUCAUGAAGUCAGUUGUUGGAAAGGAUUUGACAAAAGUUACAAUGCCAGUUCAUUUCAAUGAGCCACUAUCAUUUCUACAGAGACUGGCAGAAGAUUUAGAGUAUGCUGAUGUUCUAAACAGAGCCUCAUUUUGCAAAAAUUCAUUGGUACAACUGGCUCAUGUGGCAGCCUUUGCCAGUUCAACAUAUUCUACAGUAUUGGGAAGGUUCUGGAAACCUUUCAACCCACUUCUAGGAGAAACAUUUGAAUUUGUUAACCCCACUGCUGGAUAUGCCCUAAUUGCAGAGCAGGUAUCACAUCAUCCUCCUAUCUCAGCCCUACAUGCAGAAUCUGAUCACUGGAUUUUCUGGCAGGAAUAUAAACUUGAUACUAAAUUUAGAGGACAGUUUUUGAAGGUUAUUCCAACUGGAUUGUGUCACGUGAAGUUUAAAACAGAUGGUCAUCAUUUUACAUGGCAGAAGCCAAUCACAACAAUUCACAACAUCCUUGUUGGCAGUAUUUAUGUAGAUCAGGAAGGAGAUGUUGUGGUGACAAAUCACUCAACGCAAGAGCAGUGUAGACUACAUUUUCAACCUGUGAGGGAAGUCCAAGAGAGCUUCAAACAGCUUUCAGGUUAAAUCUCUGUGUUCAAGGUUAGAGCUAUACAGCAAUCUUAGGUUACUGUUGCAUGCCCAUGCAGAAUAGUCCCUGUAAAAAAUGCAUAUUUUGUGACUCAGACAUGGAUCCCAUUGACCUAUGGACAGCAAAUACCAAACCUGAAGAUUCCUGGAGAUAUUAUGGCUUCACACAGUUU
Molecule: unclassified non-coding RNA, 1106 nt
Filed under: Pocillopora damicornis (cauliflower coral)
Lineage: Eukaryota; Metazoa; Cnidaria; Anthozoa; Scleractinia; Pocilloporidae
Description: oxysterol-binding protein 1-like, transcript variant X2
Source: RNAcentral